Molecule: non-coding RNA, 111 nt
Organism: Acanthosepion pharaonis
Lineage: Eukaryota; Metazoa; Mollusca; Cephalopoda; Sepiida; Sepiidae
Source: the annotation of a GenBank genome assembly
UUACGGCCAUAUCACGUUGAAACACCAGUUCCCGCACGAUGACCGAAGUUAAGCAAUAUCGAGCAUGGUCAGUACCUAGAUGGGUAACUUGUAAAUACCAGGUGCUGUAGG